Molecule: long non-coding RNA, 417 nt
Organism: Gossypium arboreum
Lineage: Eukaryota; Viridiplantae; Streptophyta; Magnoliopsida; Malvales; Malvaceae
Exons: 3
Source: RefSeq, a predicted model, not a curated record
GCCUUACUGCUCUUAUAAUAUCACCAUAGCCGAUUAUAAACAAAAGAAGAAGAAAAGAGAAGAAACUAGGUUUGGCCAUCUCCCAAGUUCAAAUUUAAGAUCAAGAACUAAAGAAAUCGGGUUUAGAUCGAGGAAACCGAAAGUUAUCGAUUAGUCCCGUUCCAUUUUUCAUCGAUCGAGAUUUUGAAUUCAAUCUACGAGUUCGGGGAUCGUCAGAAAAGCUAAUCACACUAUCGACCGCUUUCGGUAUUUUAUAAGUUUGGAACUAUGGCAUGUAUAAGCUAAAAUAUGUUAUGUUUGAUUUUGGAUUUGUAAAUCAUAUAGCCAUGCGAAAAUGGCUUGAACAAAUCGUUGUGUUCGGUUUUAAGGUUUGAAUAUGAUGUGAACAUGUUUAGUUGUGGUCUUAGAUGAAUUAAA